CAAAAAAACGGUGAUUUAGUGGGGGUUUCCACAAACCCUCGCUAAUCCCCUUAUUCCCUCGCUAAAACUCGCAAAAUAUUCUAAACCCUUUUUGUUUUUAAUUUCUGAAAAAUAGAAACCCAGGUCUCGUUCGAAAACCCUUAGCUCUCGUUCCUCUCUUCUAUGCUCCAAUGGCGAAAACUCUUUCACUGAGGUUUCUUCUUCCUUGGGAACCCUAGCUUUUUCCCUCUUCUCGCGUUCCUCUUCACGUUUCUUCUUCUCGAUUGCAAACGUUUCAGGUUCGAUCUCCACUUUGGUUUCAUCUCGUUUCUGUAAACGCUUCAGGUUCAGAUCGGUUCGAUCUUCUGGUUUCUGCAAACGCUUCAGGAUUGGCAACGAAGAGAUUGGGGUUUUCACAAACAGUUCCGAUCUUGAUACUUAGGGUUUGGGUUCUCUGUCUGCUUGCUGCUCUAUCUUCAUCGCCCAGGACUCAAUUCAACGGAAAAACUUGAAGUGGGUUUGACUCAAAGCACUGUUGAUGAGACUCAGAUUUCUCCUUCCGAUACUCUUGGUAUAACGCUAGGGGAAGAGCAUUCAGGGAGAGUGCGGUGUAUGGGGAUGGGAGCAACUCCUAGUAAUACAUUCAGGAACACUAGACUUCGACUUUCAAGUUUGAGUUGUUCAUCUUCUAGCCAGUGGCAAGAGAAGCACAACAAUUUAGAGAAUGCAUUUAAGGCCUACCUUAUAAUGAAGGAAGGAAGGAUACCUGAAGAAAUGGCUCGCUUCUUUGCUCCUGAAUCACAUGUAAUUGAUACUGAAAGGGAAUCUGCGACAGAUUUGGAAGCAAGCGGAUCAUGAAGUGUUUGUUAUUUUAGAUCUUAAGUCGUUGUGCACUUUGUUAGUGUUAUUUUAGAUAUUGUAUGAAUUAAUGAUUUCAUAAGUUGUUUGAUCAAAAAUUUUGAUCUGUUUGAGGUCA
Lotus japonicus is the source of this 955-nucleotide long non-coding RNA. RefSeq lists it as uncharacterized. The transcript has 4 exons. The record is from RefSeq and is a predicted model, not a curated record. Lineage: Eukaryota; Viridiplantae; Streptophyta; Magnoliopsida; Fabales; Fabaceae.